Molecule: long non-coding RNA, 3752 nt
Filed under: Pelobates cultripes (western spadefoot toad)
Lineage: Eukaryota; Metazoa; Chordata; Amphibia; Anura; Pelobatidae
Source: RNAcentral
CACAUCGUUGCCUUAGCAACGUUUGUACACAUCACUAUGGGAACCGCUGCGGAUCGAAAAAGGAAGUGAGUGACUUAGAAAAAAUAACCCAGCAGAGUGAAAGUAUAGUGGUAAGAAGAAAAAUGAAAGAAAUAGAUGAAAAACAUUUUUUAGAAAACGGUGAUUUAACAUGCCAGUGCACACAUGUAAAUAAUGUAGGUUAUUAAUCCAAAAUAACAGUGUAAUAUUAAUUAUAAUUUAAAGACUUAAGCUAUUUUCCUCAAUAAAGAAUAAACUAUUAUAUGAUGGACACAAUUUGUCCUAACAUACUUUGCCUGGAAUUACUCCUUUGCAUCCUAAAUAAAUACACUGCAUAUAAUAAUUAUUUACAUAUUUACAUGAAGCCCACAACACUAAGUCUUCAAAUAUAAUGAUGAAUAAACUCUUAUCUACAAAACCUGGACACAAAUAUAUGUAAACUUUUCAAGUACUUCCUCACUAUUUGGAAAAAUGGCAAGAUCUAAAUUUCAGUGCCACCUUUAACCCCUUAAGGACCAAACUUCUAGAAUAAAAGGGAAUCAUGACAUGUCACACAUGUCAUGUGUCCUUAAGGGGUUAAACCAAACAGAACUAACUAUAAAAAUCAUUAUAAUUCUGGUCUGACUUUAGUGUUCUAGGAACUUGCACUAGCAUGUCAAUCAUUAAUAUAAUUAUUCUAACUAGUAUAAGGGCGAAAACAAUAACAUUAUGUUUAUCACUAUUAUCAACAGUGAUUAUAUUAAUAAGAUAAUUCACCCUUUUAGCAAAAUAACUGUUUUUUAAAACCACUUAUAGAGUGAAUCUAACAGUUAUAGCUAAACGCCCCAAAUACAUUAAAACCCUAUUAUUACAAGCUGGACUUAUGCUACAAAAAAGAAUGAUACGUUAUCAUUUCAUUAAGUCCUCUGGGAGAGACUGUGUCAAGUUUGAAUAUCCAAAAGGUUUCUCUAUUGAGUAGCAACUUCCCUCUAUCUCCUCCUCUGCAUGGCUCUGGGAUAUGAUCAAUUGCAGUGAAUUUUAGCGACGUAAAUGGAUGCUGUAGGUCCAGGAAGUGUUUUGCGACUGGCUUGUCGCUCUUUCCAUCCCUAUAGGCUAUCCGAAUAUUUGAUCGAUGCCCACGUAUACGAUCACAUAAUGAGGUUUUAGUCUUGCCUAUAUACGAUAGGCCACAAGGACACAAAAGUUUAUAUAUAACAAAUGACGUUUUGCAAGUAAUCGUAUAAUUAAUAUGGAAUUUUUCAUUAGUAUGUGGAUGGUUAAAGGCACCAUAUGGCUGCAAGUCACGCAGCCAAGGCAUCUAACACUACCCCGUUUCUGGAUAUUCUCGACUCGGAUAUAACUUUGUGCAGGAUCGGUUUUCACCAAAAUGUCGCGCAAGUUUGUAUUGCGCUUAUAACAUAUGAGAGGGUUUUGUAUUAAAAUUGGAGGUAGUGCAGUGUCUUGUGCCAACAUAUUCCAAUUUCUUUCAAUGGUGUUGGAUAACUUGAUGGCCGUAUCAUUAUAUGUGAUUGGACAUAGCAUUCGGCUCUGUACCUCUGUGAUGUUUCUUGGAAUGAAUUCUCUUGCUUGCUUGCUUUAAAGACUGAUUCAACUGUGCAUUCUUAUAUCCCCGAGCUGCGAAUUUGUCUUUCGUUUGCAGUCCAAUUUGGUGAAAACCGAUCCUACACAAAGUUAUAUGCGAGUUGAGAAUAUCCAGAAACGGGGUAGUGUUAGAUGCCUUGGCUGCGUGACUUGCAGCCAUAUGGUGCCAUCACGUACCUUUAACCAUCCACAUACUAAUGAAAAAUUCCAUAUUAAUUAGUCACUCACUUCCUUUUUCGAUCCGCAGCGGUUCCCAUAGUGAUGUGUACAAACGUUGCUAAGGCAACGACGUGCUUGUUACAUCAUCACGCAAGGGCCGCGGGUCAGCGUGAGGGCACUCAGUUGGGCGCACAUGCGCGGUUUUUAUUAGUGAAUGCCGGAGAUUAUACACUGCACCUGGGGUAAGUCACUUAAUUAUAAUGUACAUUGCUAUAUAUUGGAUGUUGUUAGAGCUUAUUGUUAUGUCACUUGAUCCUGAGGAAGGUCCCUGCGAGGACCGAAACGUUGAUCUGUUAUUUGAUGAAAUAAAACACCAUUGAAUCUAUAUGACCGUGAGUGCAGCCUACAUUUUCAAUUUGCUUAUACAAAUAUCCCUACAAGGACUGGCACCCAGCGAGUCUACAGGCUAUUUACAAGGAACAUUGAGCGUGAGUGCAAGGAAAUUUGUUCUAUAUAUAUAUAUAUAUAUAUAUACACACACACAUACACACACACUCAUACAUAGAAAAUAGGAUAGAACUCAAGGAUUUGGUCAAAAAGUAAAUCGUAACUUAUUUAGCAUCAACUUUUAAGAUUCAUAAAAAAAUCUUGAAUCUUUUUUUAUAAUUUUGAAAUAUAGACCCUAAAUAUAAGUUGUUUUAUUUUUUAAAGAAAUCCUUGAGUGGGGUGCUAUCCUAUUUUUAAUGCACAUAUUAUAUUGCUGGAUUAAGCACCGGGUAAUUACAAUUUUUAUUUUAAAAUUUUGCUAAAUAUGGCAAGAAGACAUUGGCUUGUAGAAAAAUAAGGGUUUUAAUAUAUGUAGUGCCUCCUGCUGGCCUUAACAUCAAGUGCUGCUAAUUAUCUAUAUGAGUAACUCAAACCAAGAGCAAAUGGUUAUUCAGGUGUUAAAGUGCAGCUCUCGUAACUCAAACACAAAUUGUGAUGCAUUUUUUUUCAUCUUGAAAUUACAGUAUAUUUAAUUGUCUGAAUAUUUAUUUAUUCGAUAAUAUUAUGUUCUGCUAUAAUGGUGUACCAACGGGGCAUUAAUUACACUUCUUUACACCAUAAUAUGUGGUUAUUUAGUAAGUGCAAUCUUUUGUGCUACAUGUUAUGUCAGUGUUAGCUGCCCCACAGAGAAAGUGUUGGAUUGGCUGAAGUCAUCAAGGAGGCGGGGAGGGUGAAACACCACCCUGGCCAAUCAGCAUCUCCUCAUAGAGAUGCAUUUUAUCAAUGCAUCUGUAUGAGGGAAGUUCUGUCUUCAUGCAGAGUGUGCAGCACUGCCCCAGGAGGCACCUCUAGCAGCCAUUUGAGGAGUGGUCAGUGGAGGUAUCCCUAGGCUGUAAUGUAAACACUGCCUUUUCUCUGAAAAAAAUGUGUUAACUGCAAAAAGCCUGAAUGCACUGACUGUACUCGCCAGAAAAACUACAUUAAGCUGUAGUUGUUCUGGUGACUAUAAUGUCCCUUGAAGAUGCAGCAAAUACUUACUGUAAAACAGUCUCUGAUUAGCAACAAAGUCAGUCUGCUUCUCCAAAAACCCAAAUCUCUCAUUCCUAUACUACUUUCAUUCUUUGUAGAAAAAUACAAAACAAUUUGUACAAAAACACUAAAAUAAACCCUAAUGGGAUGAUUCACGAUACCUUUUGCUGAUGGGAAUUCCCCAGAGAAUUGUACAUUUAAAUUCAAAAAAACUGAGCUAUUGUUCUGAAUUCAAGCUGAAUUUCCCAUUUUGUUUGUCAAAUAAUAAUAAAAAAAAAGCUGAACAAUCUCAAAAUCAAUACCUACUUUAGUUAAUACAUUUGCAGGUGAUUUAUUCUUCAGUUUGACCUCUUUGCCUAUAAUAUGCAAAUCUCUGGUGAAUUCCUGGCAAUGCAUGGUUUAGUACAUAAUCUGAUAAUUAUCGCCAGUGUUUAUUACAGUUUGCUAGGGACUUUCCAAAUAAAAUAAUAUAAAGCUAC